AAGGAAGUCAGGUUAGGAACUCAA
RNAcentral lists this non-coding RNA (24 nucleotides) under Cricetulus griseus (Chinese hamster). Lineage: Eukaryota; Metazoa; Chordata; Mammalia; Rodentia; Cricetidae. The record is from RNAcentral.